CCAGCUGGUCAACCAGGCACCUUGCUCUCCUCCGUUCCCUGAGCUCAGGUGGCAUAGGCGUUGCCGUGAGCUGCGGAGAAAUCUCCACGCAGAGUCGCCUGUUGAUAACCCUCCAGUUAAAACGUUCUUGGCAGCGGGAGCCCCUCAGAUGUAAAUUUCCCUUUCACACGCUUGAGCUUCAGCAGUCCUCCAAAGAGAAUGUUUGAAUUGAAUUAUAUGAAGCCCUCCUUUCUUCAAAUGAAGUCACGGACUCUGAUGGCACUGGCUUGUCAGGCAGGACGACCGGACUGGGAAAGAGACCAGGUAGAAACUAGUGACCUAGUGACGGG
This 329-nucleotide long non-coding RNA is filed under the name Homo sapiens (human). RNAcentral's name for it is "non-protein coding LINC01351:1". The record is from RNAcentral. Lineage: Eukaryota; Metazoa; Chordata; Mammalia; Primates; Hominidae.